GUUAUGGUUUCAAAUUCUGAAAGAUUAGCUCAUUGCUGGAAAUAAUAUGUGUAAUGUUGAAGCAAUGCUAGAUUACAAAAUUUUAUCAUUAAUUAACAAUUAAACACACAAAGAUUGAGCAGUUGUUCUCAUCAGAAACAUCUACCAGGAACUUACGGGGGGUCAUGAGACAGCUCUGCAGCAAGCAGGGAAGAGAAGAAAUGCUUCUUGCCCUUGCAGAGUUGUGAGAGGGCACACUUGCUAUGUCACACAAUAUUAGGGAUGCAGGUAGAAAAAAACAAAGAACCACAUAAAUCACCGGGUAUCUGGUCUCAGCCUCUGACAGUGUCACAUAAAGCAGGAAAGCUACAAGAUUUGGAACAACACAGCUUAUAGAUGAAAGUUGGAGGCAUUUAAUUUACUGGAAAACACAGGAGGAAAGGACCAAACACAUAAAAGAACAUUCAUUUUGAGAGAUGAGCAAAUUCAAUUGAGUUCAAGGGUAGGGCAAUGGUGACUUCUCAGCCACCUGCUAGGCACAUGACUGGGUUAAUAAAAGUGGGAGUCUGGGUUAAAAUGCCCCUUUAAAAGGCCCUGAACAACUGUUUGUCUAAGAAAGUCGAAACUAUGGAAGAAAAGGUGGUCAACUUCAGAGAGUAGAUUUAACUGCUGCAACUUGCUUCAACGUGGUUUAGCCAAGCGGAAACUUUUCUUCCAAGUGUAUGCUCUUUAACAUAUUUAAGAUGUCUUAAACAUCUUUCAGAAAUCGACUUUGCUACCAGUAUUAUACAGGUUAAUAUUUUUCAUAAAGCACAAACAGUGGAGGGCUAAUUUUUGGACUAUACUGCAUUUAUGAAGCAGAGCAAACCUCAUCUGCUUUCAUGACUUGAAUGGAGGAGAAUGGUUAGAAACUCUUAAACGAGGAGAGGAGAGGAAAGAAGAGGCAAGAGCAAGAGCAUACAGCAGACUGGCUGCUCCAGCUCGGCAGUGGUCUCACUAGACCCUGGAGUCCUGUCCAUGAAUGGGUUUGGACUUGCAGCCACCAGGCAAUGCCAGUGGAGAGGCAGCGCCAGGCUCCUACCAGCACUCACAUGGUUGGCAACGGAAUGAAAUCACCACAUUUAGCAAGGGCUGACGGCACUUUUCUUGGGUUUGCUAUGGGAGUAACCUUCUGUUUAAAUGUAUUACACAGAGCUCAUCUCUAACAAAAUCAUGUUCCUAUUUGGUUAACACUGUAAAUGGAAAUUCUAAACAGUGUGUGUUUACUCAAAAGUAGAAUCUAUACUUCUCAGACUGCUAUCCACUUGUGUGACCGUAAAGUCUUCAUAACUGGAGUGAAGAUGGGGCAGAGAGAGGCAGUAUUUAACAUCAAGAAGCCACACUGUUGUCACAAUUUUCAGCAAAGCUUAAGCAGAAAAUGUGUAUGUAAGGAACAAAAUGUCAAUGUUACUUUCAGUGUGAAUUUCUACCACUGAAAUUUUAAUUCAAUCCAAAAUAUUCCUCUGCACAUGAGUCAGAAGAAUGACCGAGAACUGAUGCUAUGUGAUGAUGAUGUUCACCACCUGGACUUCUUCCCAUCUGGCUCCCUGGAUCACCUCACAGCCCUUCCCUGGUCCCCAGAAUGUUUGCUUUUUGAUUAUAAGGCCAGAUGCAAGAGCAAAAACUUCCACCUAAAUCUGUAGCAUGUGGACAUCCAAAUGAAUAGAUACUUCAUUCUACUCACAGAUAUCAAAUUAAAUAUGUUAAAGAGAGCUAUUUUAGCAGUCUCAAUUAGUCUUCAAAAUGGAAAAGCUGCUUCUGUACUUAUGUAAAAUAUAAAAUGCUAUGUUAUACUAUUUGUUACUUCACAAAGUUUUUAACACAUCAUUUUAACACCUCCAAGUCUAUAAAUGUAUACUGCAGCACAAGCCAUAUUGAGCAUAUAUAAUCAAAAUUGAAUCCCAUAUUCCUGCAGCUCUCACCACCACCAAAGCUUGCCAUAUGGAGAAGACAUGGGGCGACCGUGGCCUAUGGAUAGAUGCUUAGAGGAUCUAACCUUCAUCCUGAGUAUGAGGGAGUUGGCAUUUGGAAAAGAGGAAGAAGGGGAAGCAGGCAAAUGUGGGGUUGGAGAGUGAGAAUGCUAAUGAAAUAGAAUAAAUAACAAGCUUGGAAGUGAAGGUCAGGCCAGUUUCCUAGAGCACUUUUCCAUUCUGUAUCCCGAGACUACGGAGACAGGAAGUAGAGAGAGCAGAUAAAUUCAUGACACUGUCUUCUCUGGGAUCAGACCCUGCCAUUCCGACUGCCCUAAUAUCUCUUCCUGGCUCCUCUCUCUUCUAGUAUUGUUCUCAGAUCAUGCUGGAUAUGCUGAAUAUAAACUAACUUUAUCAUCUUCUAGAGAUUCCAAUAAGAACUUUAGGUCAAUAACCUCCCACAUGCCUGUAUUUUGUUCUGAAGUUUCCUGAGGGCAAUAUUUUCAGCUCUUUAUUGGCCAAACCAAUUGGGUGAAUAAAAAGAACUUCAAUCU
Saimiri boliviensis boliviensis (Bolivian squirrel monkey) is the source of this 2482-nucleotide non-coding RNA. The record is from RefSeq and is a predicted model, not a curated record. NCBI's taxonomy places the organism in Eukaryota, Metazoa, Chordata, Mammalia, Primates, Cebidae.